This 253-nucleotide ribosomal RNA is filed under the name uncultured bacterium. RNAcentral's name for it is "partial 16S ribosomal RNA". It matches the Rfam family "Bacterial small subunit ribosomal RNA", at positions 524 to 776 of the family's 1533-position model. The record is from RNAcentral.
GACGGAGGAUGCAAGCGUUAUCCGGAAUUAUUGGGCGUAAAGCGUCCGUAGGCGGUUUCAAAAGUCUGUUGUUAAAGCCCACAGUUCAACUGUGGAUCGGCAAUGGAAACUGUGAGACUAGAGAGUGGUAGGGGUAGAGGGAAUUCCUAGUGUAGCGGUGAACUGCGUAGAUAUUAGGAAGAACACCAGUGGCGAAGGCAAUCCCCUGGACCUGUACUGACGCUCAUGCACGAAAGCGUGGGGAGCAAACAGG